Saccostrea cuccullata (small rock oyster) is the source of this 391-nucleotide long non-coding RNA. RefSeq lists it as uncharacterized. NCBI's taxonomy places the organism in Eukaryota, Metazoa, Mollusca, Bivalvia, Ostreida, Ostreidae. The transcript has 3 exons. The record is from RefSeq and is a predicted model, not a curated record.
AACAGACACCAGGAAAAUAAACAAUGAGAAAAUGAUGUUUAAGUUGUGAGUGACAAAGUAAGUCAUCAAUCAAUUAAUGAAAAUGAAAGAGACAGGUCUUGUGAAAUAUUGGAACAACAUUUAUGAAGUCUGACUAGAGGGAUUCCAUCUAUUCUAAAAACCCAUACGUACAUUAUGAUGCAAAUGGAAGAAAACAUUAAAAAGCAGUGGAUACGGCCACCGGGAAAUCAGUAGGAAUGGAUCUACCCUAGGCACAGAUGUACCAAUACAGUUUGAACUAUGUAAAAAAAAGAUGAAAAGAUUCAUUUUCAGUAAAAAGCAGAACUGUGACACAGGAGCAUUGACACUUAUGAAAUGUUACAAAUUAUUUCAAAUGACACCAAUGAAAAAU